Molecule: ribosomal RNA, 1539 nt
Filed under: Hellenolacerta graeca
Lineage: Eukaryota; Metazoa; Chordata; Lepidosauria; Squamata; Lacertidae
Description: partial large subunit ribosomal RNA
Rfam family: Bacterial large subunit ribosomal RNA
Source: RNAcentral
GCCCAAAAUUUAGCCGACCAACUACACUAAACCUUUUUCCUCACUAAGUCAAAACAUUUGCCCCGGCCAGUAAAUGAGAUUAAACACCACCAACCGGCCUUCUAAGUACCGCAAGGGAACAAUGAAAGAACAAUGAAAAACCUUAAGCAAAACACAGCAAAGAUUAUUUCCCGUACCUCCUGCAUCAUGGUCUAGCAAAACACACCCAGACAAAGAGAACCUUUAGCCUGUUCUCCCGAAACCAAGCGAGCUAUUUUUAGGCAGCACUUAGAGCACACCCAUCUCUGUAGCAAAAGAGCGGGAAGACCUAAAAAUAGAGGUAAAAAACCAAUCGAGCUUGGUGAUAGCUGGUUACUCAACAAAAGAAUCUAAGUUCAACUUUAGGUAAAUAAUAAGCCCGUAUCUACUUAAACUACUCCUUUUAACCUAAAGAAAAUCAAUGGGGGUACAGCCCCAUUGAUCCGGGAUACAGCCCGAACUGUGAGAAACUUUUUCUUUUUUUCUAGUUGGCUUCAAGGCAGCCAUCAAAUAAUCGCGUUAUAGCGAAGAACUAAAACAAUUCUUACUAUAUAAUACUUCUCCUGAUUUUCCUGAGCCAUUCUAUAAUUAUAUAGAAAUACCAAUGCUAAAAUUAGUAAUAAGAAAUAUUUGUUUCUCUAUGCAUACCUUUAAAUCAGAAUAGAAAAACUACUGAUAGUUAACAAACUAAAACACAGACCCACAACCACACCUAGCCAAAUGUCCCCAAAAAAUUGUCACCCCAACACAGGCAUGCAAAAAAGAAAGGCCAAAAUCCGUAAAAGGAACUCGGCAAAACUUAGUCCCAACUGUUUACCAAAAACAUAGCCUUUAGCCCAACAAGUAUUAAAGGUCCCGCCUGCCCAGUGACUCUUUUAAACGGCCGCGGUAUCCUAACCGUGCAAAGGUAGCAUAAUCACUUGUUCCAUAAAUUGGGACUAGUAUGAACGGCUAAAUGAGGACUAAACUGUCUCUUACGGACAGCCAAUGAAAUUGAUCUUCCAGUACAAAAGCUGGAAUAAACCCAUAAGACGAGAAGACCCUGUGGAGCUUAAAAGUCAAACCCAUCAAACAUGGGUUUUGAGUCUUUAGUUGGGGCGACUUUGGAGUACAAAAAAACCUCCAAAAACCAGCCAUCAAGGUCAACACACCAAGACAGCUACACUAGACCCAGCAACCUCCACCCAAGUUGUCUGACCAAUGAACCAAGUUACCCCAGGGAUAACAGCGCCAUCCCCUUCUAGAGUCCCUAUCGACAAGGGGGUUUACGACCUCGAUGUUGGAUCAGGACACCCCAAUGGUGCAGCCGCCAUUAAAGGUUCGUUUGUUCAACGAUUAAAGUCCUACGUGAUCUGAGUUCAGACCGGAGAAAUCCAGGUCGGUUUCUAUCUAUGAUGCACUUUCCUUAGUACGAAAGGACCAGGAUAGUAGGACCAAUACCUAAAGAAAGUCCUAACAAAAAUUACUGACUUCACUAAAGUAACAGGCGUACCUUACCCUAUUACCCAAAAUAAGGACUUU